Equus caballus (horse) is the source of this 2459-nucleotide long non-coding RNA. The record is from Ensembl. Lineage: Eukaryota; Metazoa; Chordata; Mammalia; Perissodactyla; Equidae.
UAUUAUCAAAGUCUUUUUUAAAGUCUUAGUUAAUACAUAUGUAUGAUCUCUCCAAGGACAAUUUUAUUUGAUUCAUCCUGCAACCAGCUCCUACUGCAUAUGUAACUUCAGUAAGCUUCAGAGGAUAAUGAGGUGGUGUGGUCCACUGUGUCGAGCAAUUACUGGGCUUCAAGAGUUUCCUAAUCCUUUCUGAGGUUCCAGGAAAACUCUUCCUGGGUCCGUGGGCAUGGGUGACAGUCUGUGCCACCCUCAAAGUAGUCAGGAGAUUGGAAUUCCAUGGUGAUUCUCUGCUACAUAGCAAGGGCCUGGCUCAAAGCCUUAGUAGCAUUCCAGAGGCAUUCUACCCACAAUGCCUUUUAUAGAUCUUUGCUUUUAAUGUCUCCCUCAAACUAUUUUCAAAAGCAAAGACAAAUAAAAAGGUCGCCAUUUCCAUUUAGUAUUUCAGCUCCUUUGUUUUUUUGUUAGUCUUUUGAUUAAAACAAAUAAAUCAAAAACCACAAAACUUUUCAUUUUUCCUGAGAGUUUACCUCUUACAGGGUUCACAACAAAAUAGACCAUCCAAACUCCCUUCAGAGUCUCAUAAACGACAGGGCUUCAGCUAUGCAACAGGGAGUUUGCGCCACUGACCAAUGUCAAGUUGAAUAAUCUCCUAUGACUUUUGUUCAUCCACAGAAAAGAGGCUUUUUUUAAUAGAGAUUGAAAGAAUUGCUCUGCACUUGGUUAUUCGAAUGCUGAUCUUUGAACUGCCCAAGACAGAAGGGAGUUAAAGAACAGCAGUGAAGAAGAAAGUCAACUGAAAGGGAGCCAAUAUUGGUUGGAUAUCUCCUAUGGUGCAGGCAUUGUAAAAAAUUGCAUUCUGCGGACAGAGAGAUCUGCUGGGAAACCACAGACCAACACCCCAGGCACUAAACAGUACAGUCCUAUUCCACAGCCUGCUCAGACCCUGCUCCUGCUGUUGUCCAUGUGUGAGACCCAGCCUCGCACUCCCUUGACCAUGACGUGAGUUAUUGACUGCUCAUCACUCUGGGGCCGGUAGGACUCUGCCUGUGGAUAUUUCCUCGUGUUGUCAGGAAAAGACGGUCUUUCCAGGGAAUGGGAAAUGAAGACGGAAAAUAUCCUUGCCUUUCCCAUGUAUUCUUCGAUUUCUAUUCUAUGGGACAGUGCCGCUCUAGAUAUUUGGAUGAAAGGUGGCCAUAUGGAAGAAAUGCCUUCCCGUCUCAUCCAAGAGCCCAAGGUGUCCCUCCACAGGUGGUAUUUGGUGAAGGUGAAUGAUAAAGAUCAGAUUCAAGUAAGAAAAAUCAGAAGUGAACACCAUAGAGUCUGAAGACAAUGGUGUGUAUAGCAGACACUGUCAAUCCCUUACUCAUGUGCCCUCAGCACUCAUCCUUCCAUAAACACUGACUGCUUCUUCCUGAACACACUCAAACAUUUCCUGAAGAGUGCUCUGAUAGCAGGGAUGUCCUCAGCCCAGGGGGAUGGAGGAUGGAGGGGCCUAGGCAUUAAUGUCCUUGAGAACAAUCUUCAAUCAAGAUGAAUGGAAAUUGAUGGAUAAAUGUCCCAGUUUCUUUGCCCCUCGUGUAGGAUUACACUGAGGUGGGUCCUUUCCCUUCUCCUAGGGAUGCCCCAAUUGCCUGUAGCAGUAACCAGUUCACUAAAACCUUGUUCUGGCUUUCUUCUCUUCUUCCUGCCCUCCUGGUAAUUCCUGGGAUCACUUCCUAGACAAGCCUUCUUUUGUUCAAUCUUAUUUGCAGGGCCUGCUUCUAGAGAAAUCCAACUUAAAACAGAAUAUGUGUAUGAUAUACAUGUGUCUGCAUGUAGGAGUGUACAGGCACAAAGACAAAAAGAUAGUCCUACGUAUUUCCAGUUAGUGUAAGUGUUCAUGGGUAAACUUGACGUCAUAAUUCUCCAUGAGAGUUUUCUUAGUGUAGUUGCUUUCUUGUCUUCUGGUUCUGCAUUCAUGUUUCACCAUUCUGUCCCUGGUAAUAUCCUACCUACUCCCCUCAACAGCACAUCCUCUGGAUGGCUCUGUUCACAAAGCCUUGCAGUUGCCAAGUUGGUCUUGGUUCUAGAAAUAUGGACCAAAUGUGACAGCCUAAAAGUUUUCCUUUUGACAUUUGUUGAAAGGAAAAACAGUUUUCUUCCCCUGAACAUAGCAUGAGAAUGACACUCUACCUUCCAGCAUCCUCAUAUUGUGACAAGUUGAUAAGCACUCUAUUUUCACCCGCCCAUUUUCUCCACCAUAAAUAGGUCUCAAUUUGUAACCCACGUGUGCAGUUUCUCCUAGAAGCAGGGAAAAAGGCAUACUGCCCCAUGUUAGCUCAGCAGGGCGAGAGCAGUGGAAAAGAUGAAGGGUCAGAGUUACCCACCACAAAUGCGUCUGAAAGAUGGCACCGACAAAAUCAGAAUGUGCUUUCCUGGGAACACUGCCCCUGUGACAUACAAGCCAUGCUAUCUCAGUG